CCUACGGGAGGCAGCAGUGGGGAAUAUUGGGCAAUGGGCGCAAGCCUGACCCAGCAACGCCGCGUGAAGGAAGAAGGCUUUCGGGUUGUAAACUUCUUUUCUCAGGGACGAAGCAAGUGACGGUACCUGAGGAAUAAGCCACGGCUAACUACGUGCCAGCAGCCGCGGUAAUACGUAGGUGGCAAGCGUUAUCCGGAUUUACUGGGUGUAAAGGGCGUGUAGGCGGGACUGCAAGUCAGAUGUGAAAACCACGGGCUCAACCUGUGGCCUGCAUUUGAAACUGUAGUUCUUGAGUACUGGUGAGGCAGACGGGAGUCCGAGUGGAGCGGUGAGAUGCGUAGAUAUUAGGAGGAAGACCAGUGGCGAGGGCGGUCUGCUGGACAGCAACUGACGAUGAGGCGCGAAAGCGUGGGGAGCAAACAGGAUUAGAUACCCCUGUAGUC
This 443-nucleotide ribosomal RNA is filed under the name uncultured bacterium. RNAcentral's name for it is "partial 16S ribosomal RNA". It matches the Rfam family "Bacterial small subunit ribosomal RNA", at positions 338 to 795 of the family's 1533-position model. The record is from RNAcentral.